AACGCUGGCGGCGUGCUUAACACAUGCAAGUCGAACGAUGAUCCCAGCUUGCUGGGGGAUUAGUGGCGAACGGGUGAGUAACACGUGAGUAACCUGCCCUUGACUCUGGGAUAAGCCUGGGAAACUGGGUCUAAUACCGGAUACGACCAUCUGGCGCAUGUCAUGGUGGUGGAAAGCUUUUGUGGUUUUGGAUGGACUCGCGGCCUAUCAGCUUGUUGGUGGGGUAAUGGCCUACCAAGGCGACGACGGGUAGCCGGCCUGAGAGGGUGACCGGCCACACUGGGACUGAGACACGGCCCAGACUCCUACGGGAGGCAGCAGUGGGGAAUAUUGCACAAUGGGCGCAAGCCUGAUGCAGCGACGCCGCGUGAGGGAUGACGGCCUUCGGGUUGUAAACCUCUUUCAGUAGGGAAGAAGCGAAAGUGACGGUACCUGCAGAAGAAGCGCCGGCUAACUACGUGCCAGCAGCCGCGGUAAUACGUAGGGCGCAAGCGUUAUCCGGAAUUAUUGGGCGUAAAGAGCUCGUAGGCGGUUUGUCGCGUCUGCUGUGAAAGACCGGGGCUCAACUCCGGUUCUGCAGUGGGUACGGGCAGACUAGAGUGCAGUAGGGGAGACUGGAAUUCCUGGUGUAGCGGUGAAAUGCGCAGAUAUCAGGAGGAACACCGAUGGCGAAGGCAGGUCUCUGGGCUGUAACUGACGCUGAGGAGCGAAAGCAUGGGGAGCGAACAGGAUUAGAUACCCUGGUAGUCCAUGCCGUAAACGUUGGGCACUAGGUGUGGGGGACAUUCCACGUUUUCCGCGCCGUAGCUAACGCAUUAAGUGCCCCGCCUGGGGAGUACGGCCGCAAGGCUAAAACUCAAAGGAAUUGACGGGGGCCCGCACAAGCGGCGGAGCAUGCGGAUUAAUUCGAUGCAACGCGAAGAACCUUACCAAGGCUUGACAUGAACCGGAAAGACCUGGAAACAGGUGCCCCGCUUGCGGUCGGUUUACAGGUGGUGCAUGGUUGUCGUCAGCUCGUGUCGUGAGAUGUUGGGUUAAGUCCCGCAACGAGCGCAACCCUCGUUCUAUGUUGCCAGCGCGUUAUGGCGGGGACUCAUAGGAGACUGCCGGGGUCAACUCGGAGGAAGGUGGGGACGACGUCAAAUCAUCAUGCCCCUUAUGUCUUGGGCUUCACGCAUGCUACAAUGGCCGGUACAAAGGGUUGCGAUACUGUGAGGUGGAGCUAAUCCCAAAAAGCCGGUCUCAGUUCGGAUUGGGGUCUGCAACUCGACCCCAUGAAGUCGGAGUCGCUAG
Molecule: ribosomal RNA, 1293 nt
Filed under: Paenarthrobacter sp.
Lineage: Bacteria; Bacillati; Actinomycetota; Actinomycetes; Micrococcales; Micrococcaceae
Description: bacterial SSU rRNA
Rfam family: Bacterial small subunit ribosomal RNA
Source: RNAcentral